This 513-nucleotide ribosomal RNA is filed under the name uncultured bacterium. RNAcentral's name for it is "partial 16S ribosomal RNA". It matches the Rfam family "Bacterial small subunit ribosomal RNA", at positions 28 to 523 of the family's 1533-position model. The record is from RNAcentral.
GACGAACGCUGGCGGCAUGCCUAAUACAUGCAAGUCGAGCGAACAGAUGAAGUGCUUGCACUUCUGACGUUAGCGGCGAACGGGUGAGUAACACGUAAGGAAUCUACCUAUAAGCGGGGGAUAACAUUCGGAAACGGGUGCUAAUACCGCAUAAUAUCUUCUUCCGCAUGGAAGGAGAUUGAAAGACGGCUCUGCUGUCACUUAUAGAUGACCUUGCGGUGCAUUAGUUAGUUGGUGGGGUAACGGCCUACCAAGACGAUGAUGCAUAGCCGACCUGAGAGGGUGAUCGGCCAACUUGGGACUGAGACACGGCCCAAACUCCUACGGGAGGCAGCAGUAGGGAAUCUUCCGCAAUGGGCGAAAGCCUGACGGAGCAAUGCCGCGUGAGUGAAGAAGGCCUUCGGGUCGUAAAACUCUGUUAUAAGAGAAGAACAAAUUGUAGAGUAACUGCUACAGUCUUGACGGUAUCUUAUCAGAAAGCCACGGCUAACUACGUGCCAGCCGCCGCGGUAA